This 1521-nucleotide ribosomal RNA is filed under the name Ruminococcaceae bacterium CPB6. RNAcentral's name for it is "bacterial SSU rRNA". It matches the Rfam family "Bacterial small subunit ribosomal RNA". The record is from RNAcentral. Lineage: Bacteria; Bacillati; Bacillota; Clostridia; Eubacteriales; Oscillospiraceae.
UAUUUUAGAGAGUUUGAUCCUGGCUCAGGACGAACGCUGGCGGCGUGCCUAACACAUGCAAGUCGAACGAAACUUUUUGCUUCGGUAGAAAGUUUAGUGGCGGACGGGUGAGUAACGCGUGAGGAACCUGCCUUUCAGAGGGGGAUAAUGUCUGGAAACGGACACUAAUACCGCAUGACAUUUUCUGUUCACAUGGACAGAAAAUCAAAGGAGCAAUCUGCUGAAAGAUGGACUCGCGUCCGAUUAGCUAGAUGGUGAGAUAAUAGCCCACCAUGGCGACGAUCGGUAGCCGGACUGAGAGGUUGAACGGCCACAUUGGGACUGAGACACGGCCCAGACUCCUACGGGAGGCAGCAGUGGGGGAUAUUGCACAAUGGAGGAAACUCUGAUGCAGCAACGCCGCGUGAAGGAAGACGGUCUUCGGAUUGUAAACUUUUGUACCUAGGGACGAUAAUGACGGUACCUAGGCAGCAAGCUCCGGCUAACUACGUGCCAGCAGCCGCGGUAAUACGUAGGGAGCGAGCGUUGUCCGGAUUUACUGGGUGUAAAGGGUGCGUAGGCGGCCAAGCAAGUCAGCUGUGAAAACUAUGGGCUUAACCCAUAGCCUGCAAUUGAAACUGUUUGGCUUGAGUGAAGUAGAGGUAGGUGGAAUUCCCGGUGUAGCGGUGAAAUGCGUAGAGAUCGGGAGGAACACCAGUGGCGAAGGCGACCUACUGGGCUUUAACUGACGCUGAAGCACGAAAGCAUGGGUAGCAAACAGGAUUAGAUACCCUGGUAGUCCAUGCUGUAAACGAUGAUUACUAGGUGUGGGGGGUCUGACCCCUUCCGUGCCGGAGUUAACACAAUAAGUAAUCCACCUGGGGAGUACGACCGCAAGGUUGAAACUCAAAGGAAUUGACGGGGGCCCGCACAAGCAGUGGAGUAUGUGGUUUAAUUCGAAGCAACGCGAAGAACCUUACCAGGUCUUGACAUCCAACUAACGAAGCAGAGAUGCAUUAGGUGCCCUUCGGGGAAAGUUGAGACAGGUGGUGCAUGGUUGUCGUCAGCUCGUGUCGUGAGAUGUUGGGUUAAGUCCCGCAACGAGCGCAACCCUUACUGUUAGUUGCUACGCAAGAGCACUCUAGCAGGACUGCCGUUGACAAAACGGAGGAAGGUGGGGACGACGUCAAAUCAUCAUGCCCCUUAUGACCUGGGCUACACACGUACUACAAUGGCCGUUAACAGAGAGAAGCGAUACCGCGAGGUGGAGCGAACCUCAAAAAGCGGUCUCAGUUCGGAUUGCAGGCUGAAACCCGCCUGCAUGAAGUUGGAAUUGCUAGUAAUCGCGGAUCAUAAUGCCGCGGUGAAUACGUUCCCGGGCCUUGUACACACCGCCCGUCACACCAUGGGAGCCGGUAAUACCCGAAGUCAGUAGUCUAACCGCAAGGAGGACGCUGCCGAAGGUAGGAUUGGCGACUGGGGUGAAGUCGUAACAAGGUAGCCGUAUCAGAAGGUGCGGCUGGAUCACCUCCUUUCUAUGGA